UGGCCCUGCCAGUGAUUGGUAUGAUGCAUUGUGCAUUCUACUCCGUCACAGCAAGAAUGUACGUUUUUGGUUUGCUCAUAAUGUGCUUUUCAGUGUUUCAAAUCGUUUCUCUGAAUACCUUCUGGAGUGCCCUAGGGCUGAAGUGAGGGGUGUAUUUGCAAAACUUAUAGUAUUUGUUGCACAUUUUUCUUUGCAAGAUGGGCCUUGUCCUUCAUCUUUCACAUCUCCAGGACCUUCUAGUCAGGCAUGUGACAAUUUAAGUUUGAGUGAUCAUCUACUAAGAGCAGUGUUAAAUCUCCUGAGAAGGGAAGUGUCUGAACAUGGUCGUCAUUUACAGCAAUAUUUCAAUCUGUUUGUCAUGUAUGCCAAUUUAGG
Capra hircus (goat) is the source of this 375-nucleotide long non-coding RNA. RefSeq lists it as uncharacterized. The transcript has 3 exons. The record is from RefSeq and is a predicted model, not a curated record. NCBI's taxonomy places the organism in Eukaryota, Metazoa, Chordata, Mammalia, Artiodactyla, Bovidae.